GACGAACGCUGGCGGCGUGCUUAACACAUGCCAGUCGAACGGAAAGGCCCUGCUUGCAGGGUACUUGAGUGGCGAACGGGUGAGUAACACGUGGGUGAUCUGCCCUGCACUUCGGGAUAAGCCUGGGAAACUGGGUCUAAUACCGGAUAGGAGCCAUUUUUAGUGUGAUGGUUGGAAAGUUUUUUCGGUGUAGGAUGAGCUCGCGGCCUAUCAGCUUGUUGGUGGGGUAAUGGCCUACCAAGGCGGCGACGGGUAGCCGGCCUGAGAGGGUGGACGGCCACAUUGGGACUGAGAUACGGCCCAGACUCCUACGGGAGGCAGCAGUGGGGAAUAUUGCACAAUGGGCGCAAGCCUGAUGCAGCGACGCCGCGUGGGGGAUGACGGCCUUCGGGUUGUAAACUCCUUUCGCUAGGGACGAAGCUUUUUGUGACGGUACCUAGAUAAGAAGCACCGGCUAACUACGUG
This 465-nucleotide ribosomal RNA is filed under the name uncultured bacterium. Its description in RNAcentral is "partial 16S ribosomal RNA". It matches the Rfam family "Bacterial small subunit ribosomal RNA", at positions 28 to 507 of the family's 1533-position model. The record is from RNAcentral.